Molecule: long non-coding RNA, 771 nt
Organism: Polyodon spathula (Mississippi paddlefish)
Lineage: Eukaryota; Metazoa; Chordata; Actinopteri; Acipenseriformes; Polyodontidae
Exons: 3
Source: RefSeq, a predicted model, not a curated record
UACAGCUCUUGGACUCUGCUCUUGCCAAGCUGUCCAUGUAAUCCAAUUGAGUUCUGUUGACAGUCGUCUUAAGAUCGGACAAAUUUCGAAAAGCAAAUUGUAGAAUCGAUAUCAGAAAGCGGCUAAAAUAAAAGGCAGUUCAACGUUUUAAAUAACGUUGCUGUACACCCUGUUAUAGACACCAUAACACAAAAUAUUGUCGGUUGAGAAAUCAAGUUCCAGUGCUGGCCAGUGCUUAGUUACAGAAAUGUAAACGAAGCAUUAAACAGUGAAUGGAGUUGGACUUCAAGAAGAACUUCUGAACUACUAGAGGAAGAGAGAAGGCUAAACAUUAUUCCAUCUAUCGAAUGAACCAAGGUCGAGAAUUCAAACAGGGGGAAUCCUGUAGACUGUGGCACUUCUCUUACUGCAAAGACAUGAAUAAUAUAUUUGUCACCCUGGCUGAAGUCCUAGAGGCCAGGAGGGGACCUCUUGAAGAAGAUGAAAUCUGGUCACUAUUACUAGGGACUGUUGAAUCUUUGCUGGAUGCAUCAUACAAAGGUAUUUGAUUAAAUUAACAGAAUGAGAAGGCAUGGGGAUGAAUAGAUAAUAUGAGGCAAAAUGUUCUUACAUUCUUGAUUCUUAAUGAAUUGAAGAUACAGAUAAGAAAGGAAUUUUUUGCAAUAGUUCCCCAUUCAUAUGCAUCCUAGAUGUACGAUGAGAUGAGCAGACAGUUGAUUAUUUAAAUUAAUAUGUGUGGCAAUGUUGCCCCGCCCCUGUGUGUAUUUCGGU